CCUGGGUUACCUUACCAUUUGCCUGCUGCUGUUUUAAAAAAUAUUUUGUUUAUUAUUAUAUUUAUUUGAGUGUUUUGUAUUUUUUAUAGUUGCAUUUAGUGUGCCAAAAAAUAUGCAAACUUGAUGUUCGUGACGUCACAUACAAUAUGAAAACUUGACGUUCGUGACAUUACAUACCAAACAAUGACGUCAUUAAAAAAAUGACCUAUUUUGAGGAAAUUUUUUCUUAAGCAAAAAAAUACAAAAAACUUUAUGUAAAAAAAAAAAAAAAAAAAAAGGUAUGCGAUACGGGUUUUACCAUGCGAUACGGGUUUAGCUAUGCGAUACGGGGUAUGCGAUACAG
RNAcentral lists this long non-coding RNA (343 nucleotides) under Mytilus galloprovincialis (Mediterranean mussel). The record is from RNAcentral. Lineage: Eukaryota; Metazoa; Mollusca; Bivalvia; Mytilida; Mytilidae.